Non-coding RNA from Caenorhabditis elegans, 21 nucleotides. NCBI's taxonomy places the organism in Eukaryota, Metazoa, Nematoda, Chromadorea, Rhabditida, Rhabditidae. The record is from Ensembl.
UUGAUAUGGUAAAUUGUGAAC